RNAcentral lists this ribosomal RNA (486 nucleotides) under uncultured bacterium. Its description in RNAcentral is "bacterial SSU rRNA". It matches the Rfam family "Bacterial small subunit ribosomal RNA", at positions 33 to 507 of the family's 1533-position model. The record is from RNAcentral.
GACGACGCUGGCGGCGUGGAUUAGGCAUGCAAGUCGAACGGUAUCAUCCUUCGGGGGUGAGAGAGUGGCGAACUGGUGAGUAACACGUAGGUUAUCUACCCUCAAGACGGGGGACAACCCAGGGAAACUUGGGCUAAUACCGGAUGUGAGCAACUUUUAGUUGUUUGAAAGGUGGCGUAAGCUGUCGCUUGGGGAUGAGCCUGCGUCCUAUUAGUUAGUUGGUGAGGUAACGGCUCACCUAGGCAAUGAUAGGUAGGCGGCCUUAACGGGUGGUCGCCCACACUGGGAUUGAGAUACGGCCCAGACUCCUACGGGAGGCAGCAGUCGAGAAUAGUCUACAAUGGUCGGAAGACUGAUAGUGCGACGCCGCGUGAACGAUGAAUCCCUUCGGGGUGUAAAGUUCUUUUAUAUGUGAGCAGUGCUUCUUAUAUUAACAGUAUGGGGAGAGAGAUAUUAGCAUAUGAAUAAGCAACGGCUAACUCCGUG